RNAcentral lists this long non-coding RNA (522 nucleotides) under Triticum aestivum (bread wheat). Its description in RNAcentral is "long non-coding RNA (TAES_LNC020168)". Lineage: Eukaryota; Viridiplantae; Streptophyta; Magnoliopsida; Poales; Poaceae. The record is from RNAcentral.
UAUAACCUUCCAAUUUCCGUGAAGUUCAUUAGUCAUUCAGGGCAGAAAUUUUUUCAGCCAAAUACACAAUCAAAAACUAAAGUAUGAACAAUACGCUUCACUGUAAUCUUCAUGAGAACCGAGAAUAUCAGGAACUGAAAAGCAAUAAGCGGAAACGUUGAUACAAAGCAACUCCAGGAGAAGAGUGCAAAGUAAAUAGAUUGUUUACCGGCGCGGAUAAGAAUAUCAGGAACAGACCAACCCAAUCGAUCAAAGGCACGACCAGUAAAUCCCUGCACAUUCAACCCCAAAGCGAAGGGCCACAUCAGAAAUCAUAACGCUAGGCAUAAAUAACUAAGCAAAGGUUGUGGGAAUUCACCCAAGGAUUAGGUCCAAUUCGUUGAAAUCAUCACCAUAUGCCUCCUUGACGUGGGCCUCAAUGCCUCAUGUAUCCUUGAUUGCAUGCCCUUUGCAGCAGCGACGACAGAUCAUGAAUACGACCAUGAAAGCGUCGGCCUGAAUUUGCAGCUCGGGAGUUGAGGG